This 468-nucleotide ribosomal RNA is filed under the name uncultured bacterium. Its description in RNAcentral is "partial 16S ribosomal RNA". It matches the Rfam family "Bacterial small subunit ribosomal RNA", at positions 28 to 507 of the family's 1533-position model. The record is from RNAcentral.
GACGAACGCUGGCGGCGUGCUUAACACAUGCAAGUCGAACGGAAAGGCGCGGCUUUUGUGGGGUGCUUGAGUGGCGAACGGGUGAGUAAAACGUGAGUAACCUGUCCUUGACUUUGGGAUAACUUCAGGAGACUGGGGCGAAUACCGGAUAGGAGCUCCUGCUGCACGGGGGGGGUUGGAAAGUUUCGGCGGUUGGGGAUGGACUCGCGGCUUAUCGGCUUGAUGGUGGGGUAGGUAAGUACAAAGGCUUUGACGGGUAGCCGGCAUGGGAGGGUGGCCAGCCACCUUAGUACUAAGGUACGGCCCAGUCUCCAACGGGAGGCAGCAGUCGGAAGUAUUGCGCAGUGGCCGGAAGCCUGAUGCGGCGGCGCCGCGUUCGGAAAGCCGGCCUUCGGGUUAUAAACCGCUUUCGCCUGUGACGAAGCGUUAGUGACGGUACUUGGUAAAGAAGCACCGGCUAACUACGUG